This 108-nucleotide ribosomal RNA is filed under the name Periophthalmus magnuspinnatus. The record is from RNAcentral. Lineage: Eukaryota; Metazoa; Chordata; Actinopteri; Gobiiformes; Gobiidae.
AUAUUCCACCAUACCAUCUUGUCAAUGCUGAUCUUGUCUGAUCUUGGAAGCUAAGCAGGUUUGAGCCUGGUUAAUACAGUAUUCGGAUGUGAAACCACUGGGAAUACU